AUAAUCCAGACAGAAGUAGCUGGCUCCAUGAGCGAGGUAAAUGAUCUUGACUUGGAUUAUUAUCAGCCAAAAAAUUUGAAGAUCCAUAGAAAUGUUGAGUCGUGGUCGUAGAAGAAGAAAGUUCAUGAGAUUCAUGUGGAUGCAUGCUUGUGUUCAUCAACAUGUUGUUCCACCAGUUAUUACUUCAAUGCAAUUCAUUGGAUGAUUUACAGCUUGGAAGUAGGCGGUUAUUGUACUUUGGACCUCGCUUUUCCCAUGGGCAAAACUUCAA
RNAcentral lists this unclassified non-coding RNA (271 nucleotides) under Hevea brasiliensis (rubber tree). Lineage: Eukaryota; Viridiplantae; Streptophyta; Magnoliopsida; Malpighiales; Euphorbiaceae. The record is from RNAcentral.